CAACAGCUCAAAUUUGAAAUCUGGCUUCGGCCCGAGUUGUAAUUUGCAGAGGAUGUUUCUGGCGCGGUGCCUUCCGAGUUCCCUGGAACGGGACGCCACAGAGGGUGAGAGCCCCGUAUGGUUGGACACCAAGCCUGUGUGAAACUCCUUCGACGAGUCGAGUAGUUUGGGAAUGCUGCUCUAAAUGGGAGGUAAAUCUCUUCUAAAGCUAAAUACCGGCCAGAGACCGAUAGCGCACAAGUAGAGUGAUCGAAAGAUGAAAAGCACCUUGAAAAGGGGGUUAAAUAGUACGUGAAAUUGUUGAAAGGGAAGCACUUAUGACCAGACUUGGGCCGGGCGGCUCAUCAGGGGUUCUCCCCUGUGCACUCCGCCCGGCACAGGCCAGCAUCGGUUCUCGUGGGGGGAUAAGACCGUCAGGAACGUAGCACCCUCCGGGGUGUGUUAUAGCCUGGCGGACGAUACCCCCGUGGGGACCGAGGUCCGCGCUCCGCAAGGAUGCUGGCGUAAUGGUCAUCAGUGACCCGUCUUGAAACACGGACCAAGGAGUCGUCCAUUAGAGCGAGCGUUUGGGUGUAAAACCCGCACGCGUAAUGAAAGUGAACGCAGGUGAGAGCUUCGGCGCAUCAUCGACCGAUCCUGAUGUUCUCGGAAGGAUUUGAGUAAGAGUUUUAACGGACGGACCCGAAAGACAGUGAACUAUGCUUGUAUAGGGUGAAGCCAGAGGAAACUCUGGUGGAGGCUCGCAGCGGUUCUGACGUGCAAAUUGAUCGUCAAGAU
Molecule: ribosomal RNA, 777 nt
Filed under: Diaporthe pseudoinconspicua
Lineage: Eukaryota; Fungi; Ascomycota; Sordariomycetes; Diaporthales; Diaporthaceae
Description: LSU rRNA
Rfam family: Eukaryotic large subunit ribosomal RNA
Source: RNAcentral